AGCGUACACGGUGGAUGCCCUGGCAGUCAGAGGCGAUGAAGGGCGUGCUAAUCUGCGAUAAGCGCCGGUAAGGUGAUAUGAACCGUUAUAACCGGCGAUACCCGAAUGGGGAAACCCAGUGUGACUCGUCACACUAUCAUUAACUGAAUCCAUAGGUUAAUGAGGCGAACCGGGGGAACUGAAACAUCUAAGUACCCCGAGGAAAAGAAAUCAACCGAGAUUCCCCCAGUAGCGGCGAGCGAACGGGGAGGAGCCCAGAGCCUGAAUCAGCAUGUGUGUUAGUGGAAGCGUCUGGAAAGGCGCGCGAUACAGGGUGACAGCCCCGUACACAAAAGCGCAUGUGCUGUGAGCUCGAUGAGUAGGGCGGGACACGUGGUAUCCUGUCUGAAUAUGGGGGGACCAUCCUCCAAGGCUAAAUACUCCUGACUGACCGAUAGUGAACCAGUACCGUGAGGGAAAGGCGAAAAGAACCCCGGCGAGGGGAGUGAAAAAGAACCUGAAACCGUGUACGUACAAGCAGUGGGAGCACAGGUUUACCUGUGUGACUGCGUACCUUUUGUAUAAUGGGUCAGCGACUUAUAUUCUGUAGCAAGGUUAACCGUAUAGGGGAGCCGUAGGGAAACCGAGUCUUAACCGGGCGUUAAGUUGCAGGGUAUAGACCCGAAACCCGGUGAUCUAGCCAUGGGCAGGUUGAAGGUUGGGUAACACUAACUGGAGGACCGAACCGACUAAUGUUGAAAAAUUAGCGGAUGACCUGUGGCUGGGGGUGAAAGGCCAAUCAAACCGGGAGAUAGCUGGUUCUCCCCGAAAGCUAUUUAGGUAGCGCCUCGUGAAUUCAUCUCCGGGGGUAGAGCACUGUUUCGGCUAGGGGGCCAUCCCGGCUUACCAACCCGAUGCAAACUGCGAAUACCGGAGAAUGUUAUCACGGGAGACACACGGCGGGUGCUAACGUCCGUCGUGAAGAGGGAAACAACCCAGACCGCCAGCUAAGGUCCCAAAGUCAUGGUUAAGUGGGAAACGAUGUGGGAAGGCCCAGACAGCCAGGAUGUUGGCUUAGAAGCAGCCAUCAUUUAAAGAAAGCGUAAUAGCUCACUGGUCGAGUCGGCCUGCGCGGAAGAUGUAACGGGGCUAAACCAUGCACCGAAGCUGCGGCAGCGACGCUGAUGCGUUGUUGGGUAGGGGAGCGUUCUGUAAGCCUGUGAAGGUGGCCUGUGAGGGUUGCUGGAGGUAUCAGAAGUGCGAAUGCUGACAUAAGUAACGAUAAAGCGGGUGAAAAGCCCGCUCGCCGGAAGACCAAGGGUUCCUGUCCAACGUUAAUCGGGGCAGGGUGAGUCGACCCCUAAGGCGAGGCCGAAAGGCGUAGUCGAUGGGAAACGGGUUAAUAUUCCCGUACUUGGUGUUACUGCGAAGGGGGGACGGAGAAGGCUAUGUUGGCCGGGCGACGGUUGUCCCGGUUUAAGCGUGUAGGUGUGUGUUCCAGGUAAAUCCGGUUCACUUUAACACUGAGGCGUGAUGACGAGGCACUACGGUGCUGAAGCAACAAAUGCCCUGCUUCCAGGAAAAGCCUCUAAGCAUCAGGUAACAUCAAAUCGUACCCCAAACCGACACAGGUGGUCAGGUAGAGAAUACCAAGGCGCUUGAGAGAACUCGGGUGAAGGAACUAGGCAAAAUGGUGCCGUAACUUCGGGAGAAGGCACGCUGACACGUAGGUGAAGUGAUUUACUCAUGGAGCUGAAGUCAGUCGAAGAUACCAGCUGGCUGCAACUGUUUAUUAAAAACACAGCACUGUGCAAACACGAAAGUGGACGUAUACGGUGUGACGCCUGCCCGGUGCCGGAAGGUUAAUUGAUGGGGUCAGCGCAAGCGAAGCUCCUGAUCGAAGCCCCGGUAAACGGCGGCCGUAACUAUAACGGUCCUAAGGUAGCGAAAUUCCUUGUCGGGUAAGUUCCGACCUGCACGAAUGGCGUAAUGAUGGCCAGGCUGUCUCCACCCGAGACUCAGUGAAAUUGAACUCGCUGUGAAGAUGCAGUGUACCCGCGGCAAGACGGAAAGACCCCGUGAACCUUUACUAUAGCUUGACACUGAACAUUGAGCCUUGAUGUGUAGGAUAGGUGGGAGGCUUUGAAGCGUGGACGCCAGUCUGCAUGGAGCCGGCCUUGAAAUACCACCCUUUAAUGUUUGAUGUUCUAACGUGGACCCGUGAUCCGGGUUGCGGACAGUGUCUGGUGGGUAGUUUGACUGGGGCGGUCUCCUCCUAAAGAGUAACGGAGGAGCACGAAGGUUGGCUAAUCCUGGUCGGACAUCAGGAGGUUAGUGCAAUGGCAUAAGCCAGCUUGACUGCGAGCGUGACGGCGCGAGCAGGUGCGAAAGCAGGUCAUAGUGAUCCGGUGGUUCUGAAUGGAAGGGCCAUCGCUCAACGGAUAAAAGGUACUCCGGGGAUAACAGGCUGAUACCGCCCAAGAGUUCAUAUCGACGGCGGUGUUUGGCACCUCGAUGUCGGCUCAUCACAUCCUGGGGCUGAAGUAGGUCCCAAGGGUAUGGCUGUUCGCCAUUUAAAGUGGUACGCGAGCUGGGUUUAGAACGUCGUGAGACAGUUCGGUCCCUAUCUGCCGUGGGCGCUGGAGAACUGAGGGGGGCUGCUCCUAGUACGAGAGGACCGGAGUGGACGCAUCACUGGUGUUCGGGUUGUCAUGCCAAUGGCACUGCCCGGUAGCUAAAUGCGGAAGAGAUAAGUGCUGAAAGCAUCUAAGCACGAAACUUGCCCCGAGAUGAGUUCUCCCUGAGACUUAGAGUCUCCUGAAGGAACGUUGAAGACGACGACGUUGAUAGGCCGGGUGUGUAAGCGCAGCGAUGCGUUGAGCUAACCGGUACUAAUGAACCGUGAGGCUUAACCUUACAACGCCGAAG
This 2907-nucleotide ribosomal RNA is filed under the name Salmonella enterica subsp. enterica serovar Choleraesuis. RNAcentral describes it as "partial 23S ribosomal RNA". It matches the Rfam family "Bacterial large subunit ribosomal RNA". Lineage: Bacteria; Pseudomonadati; Pseudomonadota; Gammaproteobacteria; Enterobacterales; Enterobacteriaceae. The record is from RNAcentral.